Non-coding RNA from Equus caballus (horse), 1276 nucleotides. The record is from RefSeq and is a predicted model, not a curated record. Lineage: Eukaryota; Metazoa; Chordata; Mammalia; Perissodactyla; Equidae.
CCUUGUAAAGACGGCAGGGCAGAGGCUCAGAGAUGGCCAGUGACCUGCCCAGGGGCACACAGCAGGACCACAGGGAGGGACACCAGCUGAGGUUGGGACCCAGGUGUUAAGCACACUUCUGUGAGUCCCACUGGGUUCAAACCCUGGCUCUGCCCCUCAUUGCUGUGUGCCCUGAGACAGGUGACACCUCUCUGGAUCUCAUAAUUCUCAGGGUAAACUGGGGAUGACAGUAAUCCCUCUUCUUAGGAAGAUGUCACUGUUUUCAGCGCAUUCCUGGCACAUAUCCCAGGAGAGCAGGACCUUGCUUGUCUUGGCCACUCGGGUCCUUGGUCUGGCACAGGGCCUGAUAGGAAUGUGUUGACAGAAAGAAUAAAAACGCCGAGUCGAGUGGGACUGCGGACUGGUACAGCCACGCUGGACGACGGUUUGCAGCUUUAUUCAUCAUCACCAAAAACUGGAAACAACCCAAACGUCCCUCAGCUGGUGACGAGAUAAACACAGUGGCACAUCCAUGCAGUGACAGAAGGAGCCCAAAGAGAUGCGCACGCAACGUGGGCGAGUCUCAAAGGCAUGUUGCCCGGGAAAGGAGCCUUGCUUGAAAGGCUACACGCAGCCUGAUGCCAUUUAUGUGACAUCGAGAUGAUGCAGAACUAUGGGGACAGGGCACAGACCGGCGGUUGGCGGGAGCGGGGUGUGAGGGACUGCUGUAAGGGGAUAAGGCUCUGGCAGGUGCAACUCUUCUGUAUUUUGACUGGGGUGGGGGUUACACAACUGUGUGUGUUUUUCAAAACAUAGAACUAUACGUUUAUUUUUACUGUUACUGUGUGCAAGAAACAAGUAACAAUGAAAAAAAAGUUGUAAACUUUCAGAAUCACGGAGCAGAGCGACUGGGUCCCACCAGCCCUCUGGGCAGAGACGAGGGCAGGUGAGAAGUCCUGCGGCCGAGCUUUGACCUCCCCAAACCGGGAAAUGAGGUGGGGCCUGUCCCCCGCCUCCUAGAGCAGGGCCACUUCCACAGCCAUCGGCCCGGCAGAGACUGUUCUGGUCCAUGUGACGAUGGGGCGGGCAGGGCCGGGACUGCAGAGGGGCGGCACCGAUAGUCUGGGGGCUCCGCGGCAGCCUCUGAAGGCUUCCAUCCACUUCUGGCGCUGCGGAGGCCAGGUGUUGCCCGUGGGAGGUCAUCGUGUUGUACUCUCCGCAUUUUUCACGUUUGAACUAUUUCCUUAAUAAACAUGAUCAAUAAUACAGUAAUUUAAAAACAAGAACACAGUGAUUC